Molecule: ribosomal RNA, 429 nt
Filed under: Bacteroidota bacterium
Lineage: Bacteria; Pseudomonadati; Bacteroidota
Description: Bacteroidetes bacterium partial 16S ribosomal RNA
Rfam family: Bacterial small subunit ribosomal RNA
Source: RNAcentral
UAGGGAAUCUUCCGCAAUGGACGCAAGUCUGACGGAGCAACGCCGCGUGAGUGAAGAAGGAUUUCGGUUCGUAAAACUCUGUUGUUAGAGAAGAACAGCGCAUAGAGUAACUGUUAUGCGUGUGACGGUAUCUAACCAGAAAGCCACGGCUAACUACGUGCCAGCAGCCGCGGUAAUACGUAGGUGGCAAGCGUUGUCUGGAUUUAUUGGGCGUAAAGCGAGCGCAGGCGGUCAAUUAAGUCUGAUGUGAAAGCCCCCGGCUCAACCGGGGAGGGUCAUUGGAAACUGGUUGACUUGAGUGCAGAAGAGGAGAGUGGAAUUCCAUGUGUAGCGGUGAAAUGCGUAGAUAUAUGGAGGAACACCAGUGGCGAAGGCGACUCUCUGGUCUGUAACUGACGCUGAGGCUCGAAAGCGUGGGUAGCAAACAGG